GGCGAAGUGGCCGAGUGGUUAAGGCGCUGUGUUUAGGCCGCAGUGGGAAACCUCGCGCGUUCGAAUCGCGUCUUCGUCA
This 79-nucleotide transfer RNA is filed under the name Phaeoacremonium minimum UCRPA7. Its description in RNAcentral is "tRNA-Leu (TAG) (tRNA-Leu-TAG-1-1)". It matches the Rfam family "tRNA". Rfam says of the family: Transfer RNA (tRNA) molecules are approximately 80 nucleotides in length. Lineage: Eukaryota; Fungi; Ascomycota; Sordariomycetes; Togniniales; Togniniaceae. The record is from RNAcentral.